UGUAGGAAGCCGGUUCCUGCAUUAUAAUGCUGCCUGAAGACACCAAGGUGUGAAUUACUUCACAGGCGCUGGGUAAUCUCCAUUCCUUUGAUCUCUGCCUAUCCCGUGGCUCAUUUUAGCCUGAGGAGCUGAAGCCAUUCAUAGGAAGGAUCCGAGUGUCCUGCGUGUAUUUCUUGCUGGCGAGGAAUACAGAGCGGGCGCGGGACAUAUGGUGCCGAAACCCGGGACGCUUAACAUCUCCAGCACCACGGAGACCCCUUGGCUACAAGGCGGAUUCAGAACUGCAGGAUGGUAAAUUCGGAGAGGAUAAAGAAAAUCCUCUGUGGAUCCCAGAAAGACUCAACCUAAAGAGCCUCUCCAGACCUUCAAAAGUCGGAACUCCACCCUCUACCCCCGGGAGUUGAGAGCCGCUAUUGUUAUCCAGAUUAACUCCUGUCCUUGGCGGAGAGAUGGCAACUGAUUAAGGGGUGGGGGUGAUUGUUCGAUGCAGCCGUUUGCAGAUUGCUGUUAUUUUUGGCUGGUCUGUGAGAAAAGGGGUGGAUAUAAUUGUUUGAUGCAGCCGCCUGCGAAUUGCUGUUACUUCUUUGGCUGGCAUGUAAGCUCCAGGGCUCAAACCAAGAGAUCACCCAAGCGCUUAUAUUUUGGCUACUAGCAAUAGGCCGCCGGCCAGACAGCUCUUACACACCCGGAGCCUAGGCUCAUUGCACAGGGUAGAGUGUCUGGUUUGUGCAGCCCCAAAGAGGGAUGCUGAGCAUAGGCAUCGCACAGAGUUGCCUAUUAUACAGGCUUCUCUGGGAGGUACGUUGACCUGCAUAAGGGUUACCUGCCCCAGUCCCCCUUUCCCAGAAAAACGGCAGAGGACAGGUCGGGAGUACUUCGGGUCAAG
Molecule: long non-coding RNA, 886 nt
Filed under: Cricetulus griseus (Chinese hamster)
Lineage: Eukaryota; Metazoa; Chordata; Mammalia; Rodentia; Cricetidae
Description: lncRNA (ENSCGRG00015037769.1)
Source: RNAcentral